Molecule: ribosomal RNA, 301 nt
Filed under: uncultured bacterium
Lineage: Bacteria
Description: partial 16S ribosomal RNA
Rfam family: Bacterial small subunit ribosomal RNA
Source: RNAcentral
CAGCAGCCGCGGUAAUACGGAGGGUGCAAGCGUUAAUCGGAAUUACUGGGCGUAAAGCGUGCGUAGGCGGCUUCUUAAGUCGGAUGUGAAAUCCCUGAGCUUAACUUAGGAAUUGCAUUCGAUACUGGGAAGCUAGAGUAUGGGAGAGGAUGGUAGAAUUCCAGGUGUAGCGGUGAAAUGCGUAGAGAUCUGGAGGAAUACCGAUGGCGAAGGCAGCCAUCUGGCCUAAUACUGACGCUGAGGUACGAAAGCAUGGGGAGCAAACAGGAUUAGAUACCCCCGUAGUCCCUGUCUCUUAUAC